AGAAUGAACGUUGGCGGCGUGGAUUAGGCAUGCAAGUCGUACGGGCCGCAAGGCCAGUGGCGCAAGGGUGAGUAAGGCGACGGUAACCAACCCCAUGACUGGGUAUAGCCGCGGGAAACUGCGGGUAAUCCCCAGCGACGUCUCCGGGGGGCAUCCCCUGGAGACCAAAGCUCAGGCGUCGUGGGACGGGCCGUCGUGGUAUUAGGUUGUUGGCGGGGUAAUGGCCCACCAAGCCUGCGAUGCCUACCGGGCGUGCGAGCGCGACCCGGCACACUGGGACUGAGACACUGCCCAGACUCCUACGGGAGGCUGCAGUCGAGAAUCUUCGGCAAUGGGCGCAAGCCUGACCGAGCGACGCCGCGUGGAGGAUGAAGGCCUUCGGGUUGUAAACUCCUGUCGAGGGGAAAGAGGCCGGGUAACCGGCUUGACUGAUCCCUGGGAGGAAGGCACGGGCUAAGGUUCGUGCCAGCAGCCGC
RNAcentral lists this ribosomal RNA (476 nucleotides) under uncultured bacterium. RNAcentral describes it as "SSU rRNA". It matches the Rfam family "Bacterial small subunit ribosomal RNA", at positions 26 to 518 of the family's 1533-position model. The record is from RNAcentral.